RNAcentral lists this ribosomal RNA (253 nucleotides) under uncultured bacterium. Its description in RNAcentral is "partial 16S ribosomal RNA". It matches the Rfam family "Bacterial small subunit ribosomal RNA", at positions 524 to 776 of the family's 1533-position model. The record is from RNAcentral.
UACGUAGGUGGCGAGCGUUGUCCGGAUUUACUGGGCGUAAAGGGAGCGUAGGCGGACUUUUAAGUGAGAUGUGAAAUACUCGGGCUCAACUUGAGUGCUGCAUUUCAAACUGGAAGUCUAGAGUGUAGGAGAGGAGAAUGGAAUUCCUAGUGUAGCGGUGAAAUGCGUAGAGAUUAGGAAGAACACCAGUGGCGAAGGCGAUUCUCUGGACUGUGACUGACGCUGAGGCUCGAAAGCGUGGGGAGCAAACAGG